AGGACUUAGCUCGCUCCGUGAACAGUUCAGUGAAGUCCUGUGUUCACAGUGGCUAAGUUCCGC
Amphilophus citrinellus (Midas cichlid) is the source of this 63-nucleotide microRNA precursor. NCBI's taxonomy places the organism in Eukaryota, Metazoa, Chordata, Actinopteri, Cichliformes, Cichlidae. The record is from Ensembl.